GGGUGUGAGGGCAAUCGGUCCGUGACAUUUGUCACCCCACUGAUGGCCAGAGGUGAUCUGGCUGGUUAGGUGGGUGUCCCUUCCUCCCUCGUUGCUCCAUGUGCAUCCCUCCUGAAACUACAUGCUUGGUUAGCUAGGAGGACCACCCCUGAGCAGGGAGGAGCAUUUCCUCUGUCCAAGGUAUAUGAGUAGCUGUGUUUCCCUGCUAGAGCCUCCAGACAAGCUGUCAGAAGAACCUCUGCCAAGACCCUGGUCAUUGUACAGGGUCAGGAAACCGGAGCACAGAGGCCAGGAGAAAGCCUGGGUACACUGGUGACUGCAA
This 322-nucleotide small nuclear RNA is filed under the name Octodon degus (degu). RNAcentral's name for it is "7SK RNA (ENSODEG00000023914.1)". It matches the Rfam family "7SK RNA". Rfam says of the family: 7SK was discovered as an abundant small nuclear RNA in the mid-70s but a possible function has only recently been suggested. Two independent studies have found that 7SK RNA binds the CDK9/cyclin T complex (known as elongation factor P-TEFb). P-TEFb activates transcription by phosphorylating the C-terminal domain of RNA polymerase II. The record is from RNAcentral. Lineage: Eukaryota; Metazoa; Chordata; Mammalia; Rodentia; Octodontidae.